GUGCAGCAAUCGCGAAUUUUUCUCAGUGGGGGAAACCCUGAAGGAGCGACGCCGCGUGGAGGAUGAAGGCCUUCGGGUUGUAAACUCCUGUCAUUUGAGAACAAGGAGCCGAGAGUAACUACUUCGGCUUUGAUAGUAUCAGAAGAGGAAGGGACGGCUAACUCUGUGCCAGCAGCCGCGGUAAUACAGAGGUCCCAAGCGUUGUUCGGAUUCAUUGGGCGUAAAGGGUGCGUAGGUGGCGCCAUAAGUCAGGUGUGAAAUUUCGGAGCUUAACUCCGAAACUGCAUUUGAUACUGUGGUGCUUGAGGACUGGAGAGGAGACUGGAAUUUACGGUGUAGCAGUGAAAUGCGUAGAGAUCGUAAGGAAGACCAGUGGCGAAGGCGGGUCUCUGGACAGUUCCUGACACUGAGGCACGAAGGCCAGGGGAGCAAACGGGAUUAGAUACCCGUGUAGU
RNAcentral lists this ribosomal RNA (455 nucleotides) under uncultured organism. Its description in RNAcentral is "bacterial SSU rRNA". It matches the Rfam family "Bacterial small subunit ribosomal RNA", at positions 346 to 794 of the family's 1533-position model. The record is from RNAcentral.